Molecule: ribosomal RNA, 733 nt
Filed under: uncultured bacterium
Lineage: Bacteria
Description: bacterial SSU rRNA
Rfam family: Bacterial small subunit ribosomal RNA
Source: RNAcentral
AGUCGAGCGAAGCGAUUUAAAUGAGACUUCGGUGGAUUUUAAAUUGACUGAGCGGCGGACGGGUGAGUAACGCGUGGAUAACCUGCCUCACACAGGGGGAUAACAGUUAGAAAUGACUGCUAAUACCGCAUAAGCGCACGGUACCGCAUGGUACAGUGUGAAAAACUCCGGUGGUGUGAGAUGGAUCCGCGUCUGAUUAGGUAGUUGGUGAGGUAACGGCCCACCAAGCCGACGAUCAGUAGCCGACCUGAGAGGGUGACCGGCCACAUUGGGACUGAGACACGGCCCAAACUCCUACGGGAGGCAGCAGUGGGGAAUAUUGCACAAUGGGCGGAAGCCUGAUGCAGCAACGCCGCGUGAGUGAAGAAGUAUCUCGGUAUGUAAAGCUCUAUCAGCAGGGAAGAAAAUGACGGUACCUGACUAAGAAGCCCCGGCUAACUACGUGCCAGCAGCCGCGGUAAUACGUAGGGGGCAAGCGUUAUCCGGAUUUACUGGGUGUAAAGGGAGCGUAGACGGCACGGCAAGCCAGAUGUGAAAGCCCGGGGCUCAACCCCGGGACUGCAUUUGGAACUGCUGAGCUAGAGUGCCGGAGAGGCAAGUGGAAUUCCUAGUGUAGCGGUGAAAUGCGUAGAUAUUAGGAGGAACACCAGUGGCGAAGGCGGCUUUCUGGACGAUGACUGACGUUGAGGCUCGAAAGCGUGGGGAGCAAACAGGAUUAGAUACCCUGGUAGUC